CGGACGGGUAAGUGACGCGUGAGAAUCUGCCCCCCAGGUUGGGGAUUAACAGAGGGAAACCACCGCUAAUUACCGGAUGUGACUGGGAAGUCAAAAUUAUAUCCGCCUGGGGAUGAGCUCGCGUCCGAUUAGCUAGUUGGAGUGGUAACGGCACACCAAGGCGACAAUCGGUAGCGGGUUUGAGAGGAUGACCCGCCACACUGGGACUGAGACACGGCCCAGACUCCUACGGGAGGCAGCAGUGGGGAAUUUUCCGCAAUGGGCGCAAGCCUGACGGAGCAAGACCGCGUGCGGGAGGACGGCCUAUUGGUUGUAAACCGCUUUUGAUAGGGAAGAAGUUCUGACGGUACCUAUCGAAUCAGCAUCGGCUAACUCCGUGCCAGCAGCCGCGGUAAUACGGAGGAUGCAAGCGUUAUCCGGAAUUAUUGGGCGUAAAGCGUCCGUAGGUGGUUGUUCAAGUCUGCUGUUAAAGCGUGCGGCUUAACCGCAUACCAGCAGUGGAAACUGGGCGACUAGAGUGCGGUAGGGGUCAGGGGAAUUCCCAGUGUAGCGGUGAAAUGCGUAGAUAUUGGGAAGAACACCGGUGGCGAAAGCGCCUGACUGGACCUGCACUGACACUGAGGGACGAAAGCUAGGGGAGCGAAAGGGAUUAGAUACCCCUGUAGUC
Molecule: ribosomal RNA, 667 nt
Filed under: uncultured cyanobacterium
Lineage: Bacteria; Bacillati; Cyanobacteriota
Description: bacterial SSU rRNA
Rfam family: Bacterial small subunit ribosomal RNA
Source: RNAcentral